This 1313-nucleotide ribosomal RNA is filed under the name uncultured bacterium. RNAcentral's name for it is "partial 16S ribosomal RNA". It matches the Rfam family "Bacterial small subunit ribosomal RNA", at positions 91 to 1399 of the family's 1533-position model. The record is from RNAcentral.
GUGAGCGGCGGACGGGUGAGUAACGCGUGAGUAACCUGCCCUGUACACACGGAUAACAUACCGAAAGGUAUGCUAAUACGGGAUAACAUAUAAGAGUCGCAUGACUUUUAUAUCAAAGAUUUUUCGGUACAGGAUGGACCCGCGUCUGAUUAGCUUGUUGGCGGGGUAACGGCCCACCAAGGCGACGAUCAGUAGCCGACCUGAGAGGGUGAUCGGCCACAUUGGAACUGAGACACGGCCCAGACUCCUACGGGAGGCAGCAGUAGGGAAUCUUCCACAAUGGACGAAAGUCUGAUGGAGCAACGCCGCGUGAGUGAAGAAGGUUUUCGGAUCGUAAAACUCUGUUGUUGGAGAAGAACGUAUUUGAUAGUAACUGAUCAGGUAGUGACGGUAUCCAACCAGAAAGCCACGGCUAACUACGUGCCAGCAGCCGCGGUAAUACGUAGGUGGCAAGCGUUGUCCGGAUUUAUUGGGCGUAAAGCGAGCGCAGGCGGUUUCUUAAGUCUGAUGUGAAAGCCUUCGGCUCAACCGAAGAAGUGCAUCGGAAACUGGGAAACUUGAGUGCAGAAGAGGACAGUGGAACUCCAUGUGUAGCGGUGAAAUGCGUAGAUAUAUGGAAGAACACCAGUGGCGAAGGCGGCUGUCUGGUCUGUAACUGACGCUGAGGCUCGAAAGCAUGGGUAGCAAACAGGAUUAGAUACCCUGGUAGUCCAUGCCGUAAACGAUGAGUGGCUAGGUGUUGGAGGGGUUUCCGCCCUUCAGUGCCGCAGCUAACGCAUUAAGCACUCCGCCUGGGGAGUGCGACCGGCAAGGUAGAAACUCAAAGGAAAUUGACGGGGGCCCGCACAAGCGGUGGAGCAUGUGGUUUAAUUCGAAGCAACGCGAAGAACCUUACCAGGCCUUGACAUCCUUUGACCACUCUAGAGAUAGAGCUUUCCCUUCGGGGACAAAGUGACAGGUGGUGCAUGGUUGUCGUCAGCUCGUGUCGUGAGAUGUUGGGUUAAGUCCCGCAACGAGCGCAACCCCUAUUGUUAGUUGCUACGCAAGAGCACUCUAGCGAGACUGCCGUUGACAAAACGGAGGAAGGCGGGGACGACGUCAAAUCAUCAUGCCCCUUAUGUCCUGGGCUACACACGUAAUACAAUGGUGGUUAACAGAGGGAAGCAAGACUGCGAAGUGGAGCAAAUCCCUAAAAGCCAUCUCAGUUCGGAUUGCAGGCUGCAACUCGCCUGCAUGAAGCUGGAAUUGCUAGUAAUCGCGGAUCAGCAUGCCGCGGUGAAUACGUUCCCGGGCCUUGCACACACCGCCCGUCA